GGCGGGGUACUCAAGUGGACAACGAGGAUAGACUGUAAAUCUAUUGGCUCUUGCCUUCGAAGGUUCGAAUCCUUCCCCCGCCACCA
RNAcentral lists this transfer RNA (86 nucleotides) under Lentisphaerota bacterium. RNAcentral describes it as "Lentisphaerae bacterium (sediment metagenome) tRNA-Tyr". It matches the Rfam family "tRNA". From Rfam's summary of the family: Transfer RNA (tRNA) molecules are approximately 80 nucleotides in length. Their secondary structure includes four short double-helical elements and three loops (D, anti-codon, and T loops). Further hydrogen bonds mediate the characteristic L-shaped molecular structure. tRNAs have two regions of fundamental functional importance: the anti-codon, which is responsible for specific mRNA codon recognition, and the 3' end, to which the tRNAs corresponding amino acid is attached (by aminoacyl-tRNA synthetases). tRNAs cope with the degeneracy of the genetic code in two manners: having more than one tRNA (with a specific anti-codon) for a particular amino acid; and 'wobble' base-pairing, i.e. permitting non-standard base-pairing at the 3rd anti-codon position. The record is from RNAcentral. Lineage: Bacteria; Pseudomonadati; Lentisphaerota.